GCAGUGGUGGCCGAGUGGUUAAGGCGAUGGAGUAGAAAUCCAUUCGGGGCUACCCGUACAGGGUCGAAUCCUGCGACUGCA
RNAcentral lists this transfer RNA (81 nucleotides) under Ixodes scapularis (black-legged tick). It matches the Rfam family "tRNA". From Rfam's summary of the family: Transfer RNA (tRNA) molecules are approximately 80 nucleotides in length. Lineage: Eukaryota; Metazoa; Arthropoda; Arachnida; Ixodida; Ixodidae. The record is from Rfam by way of RNAcentral.